RNAcentral lists this microRNA (22 nucleotides) under Drosophila melanogaster (fruit fly). RNAcentral's name for it is "dme-miR-303-3p". Its record names the gene dme-miR-303-3p. Lineage: Eukaryota; Metazoa; Arthropoda; Insecta; Diptera; Drosophilidae. The record is from miRBase by way of RNAcentral.
CUAGUUUCCUCUAAAAUCCUAA